CUGCUGGUUCGCUCGCCGGCGGGGAGGUUGGCGGUGACGCGGGGCUCCGGGCGAGCACCUGCUCGGGAGGGGAUCGAGGAGGCAGCGGGUGAGGUGGAGUUGGAUCGAGGGUUGCUCUGGUUGGCCGGGCGGAUCGAGGGGAGGCCUCGAGUGCUGGUUGGGUGAGAAGGGGAUCUGGGAGGAUCCCGAGGAAGAAGAUGGGUGAUGAGACAGGGGCGGCGGCUGGGAGGAUGGGACAAGGCUCCUAAAUUUUAGGGUUAGGCAGGUAGGUGGUCUAUUUAUAGAUAGAGGAGAAGGUUUAGGGUCUCACUAAUUUAGAUCCGACGGUCAGAAAAUUAGGUUAGGGAAAAUUAGAUAAGAAACUGAAGAUAUUUUAGGACUAUUUGGAGAUGAUCCGAACCUAGCGACAGCCCGGGUCGGGUUUGGGUAAGUUUCAGACGAGCAAGCGAGGGGUCAAAGCACUGUGCAAGGAGGGGUUAGGUGGUUUGACAAGAGGGAAUCGAAAACACGGUUGGUCUAGGAACGGUCAACAAAGGCAAGGGGGACGCGGCAACUACGAGCGGAUGCAAGUUUUAGAAAACAUGUGAUGCAAUGCUCAUGAUGACAUGAUGAAUGCAACAAACAAAAUAAAACACACGGCGAACACGAAAAACAUGGAGGGCGUCUGAAGCAUCGGUCUCAGGGCGUUACAACACUCCACCACUACAAGAGGAUCUCGUGCCGAGAUCUAGGGAUGGCACCGGAGAGAAACAGAAGUGGAAGAGGUAAAACAAAUUGCUUCUUUGACAAAUGAGUGAAACCAAAGAACCUUCGAGGUUGAACAAAUUUAAAGAAGGAAUAAAACGAAGGUGAACAAAGUUGAAAACACUCCGUUAGAAAAAAAGGAACAAGGAACAAUACGGGAACCUUGUAGGUUGAAAGACAUAAGAAAAAGGGUUGCAAUGGCCAAGAAGUGCAUGCAAGCACUCCGGUUGAAACGAGAUGUACAAGGAACGAUAAAGAUCAAUUACGACAACACUCCGGUACAAGAUAGAGAAGGAAUAAGAGUGAUAUAAUUUGGACAGCACUCCGACUGUAAAUGGAAGGAAUUGAACAUGAACUUGACAAGACGAGGCGAUGGGUGAAAGAGAGCAACAUCACCAUGCCUCGGGAAGAGAUGAAAGAAUGGAAUGGAAUGAACGGAGAGAAACAAGAUCUUGAAAGAGCACACUUACAAGAAAUGCUAGAACGGAGUUGUUGGAUUAUCAACAACGAAAGGAUAAGCUUGUUGUGGGCUUAUGGAAAACAACUCAAAACUAUGAGGUGAAGACCAACCACUAACAGAAUCAAUUAAUUGCUUGAGAGCAACACGGAGAUGAAAACUCUUUCACCGAGAAGAGAAGGAGAAACUUGGAUCAUUGAUGAGCACCAAAAGUAGCAACAUUCCCAAAGGAAGGCUUUAGGUGAAAUCUUUACAAAGAAUACUCCAAUGGAGAAACGAUGGGUUUAAAUAUCUCAUGCUCGAAAACUUGUGAAUCAUGAAACACAAAGAAAUUGUCAAAAAUGACAUAACACCACCUCAAAUGAUAAGGUAGAACGAAUUGCACUUCGGAAUGCAAGAUGAAGAAUACUUGAACUCCUCAAAACAAGACAUGUGUUGAACACCAUGUUUGUUUAGAGUAUAGCUUUGCGGAUCAUAACUUCGAGAGAAAUCUUGAAGAACAAUUGAAGAAUGAAAGGAAUCCUUGACGAACCACCAUGUCGAGCCUCCAUGAAUAACUCUGGUAAUGAAAAGAUGAUGAAAAGAAAGAGAAGUUGAGAACACAAGGAGAAACCUUGCGAUCAUUUAGAUGGAGCUUCGCGAUGAGAUAAUGCGGAAAACUUGAAACUCCGGAAAGAAAGAUGAACAAUUGAAACCAAGAAUUUUUUGAUGAACUUCCGGAAUAAGGAAUUGAAUCACCUUGAGGAAAACAAGAAUAAGGUUUAUUGUAUGUUUAUCCUCCAUCAACUUAAAUUGAUGACAAACAAUGGAUUUUUGGCAUACUACUCAUUCUCAUUGAAAAAGGCUUGAAGAGAGAUAUUGCUCAAUUUGGGAAAUUCUUCAACGAUCCGCCGGUAGGAUUUGGAAAGAACGAAUGAAUUGAUAUGAUAACCAAGAAAGAGAACUCUUGAACGAACGACCGUAAGAAUUGGAAAUGAGAGUAGCAAAGGCACAAUUCACCGGAAGAAUUAGAAAAUGAAUAAAGAUACUUGAAAGAAUUUAGAUACAAGUGAACGAAGAGAUCACGAGUUGAUUAGAGAAUACUUGAACGAUGCACCGGUAAGAUUUGGAGAUCGAGAGCUGAAAACUAAGAAUGAAUAAACCCGAAAUGAUGGCCUUCGUAGGAAUAAAAUGGAAAGGAUUCACGAAAUGCUCCGGGUUGUAAGAAAAUAAUUGUCACAAUCAAAAACAAUUAUGAGGAUGGCAACAAGCUAGAACCAUGAAUCUUUGGAAGAACGGGUAAGGAUUUAAGAGGAACUCUUCUUCGGUCUUCAAAUCCGAAAAUGACGACGAGAAACACCACCAUGAAUUGUUGAGGCACUCCGGAAUAAAAAUUAGAAAGCUUGAACCAGCGAUGAAAAGAAUUUGGAAGAUCUUGGAGAAAGACAUUUGACUGAUGAGAAUUCAUUCUUACGUCAAACUUCGAAAUUAAUUGAGAAUAACACCGGAAAAGUUAGAAGAGUUAGGUAAGAUCCUGGGAAAAGACCUGUGGGUUAGGGCCCACUCAAAGAAACACCUUUCGAAAAUUUUGCUUGAAAGAUAUUGCACCGGUUGAAUUAAAUGCCUUGAAUGAGAUAUCAACCUCGAAAUAGCUUGAACAAAUUAGGAAUGGAAAUGUGAAUCUUCUGAGAUAACUUUAAGCACUCCAGAGAAGAAAUAGAGGGAGGUGAAUAAUUAAGAGGUGCACCCACAUGACAAAGCAAUUGACACGAGGGAAGGAAUAUGAUCAACACUGAAAGCUUGAAUUGAAUCCACCGAAGAAGAAGAUGAGAACGAAGACAGAUGAACUUGAAGCUCCUAAGCAUCUUCAUGAGAAUCACCGGCUAAGAACAUUGACGGAAAAGAAUGGGGAGACUUCUCAUCAAUAAAAGGAUACUUGAUUAAAUUUUUUGUCUCCAUGAAGAAAAAGGGUGGGAGGGUGGGAAAAACAAAGACAACUUGGGACGAAUGGAACAAACACCGUUGAGAAGAACUGAAAUUUGAUCUCGCGAAUGUUGAAAAUGAUCGGAUCCACUUGAAGAGAAAGCACACCGGUUGGAAAAGAAUUGACAUGACACUCUCGAUGAUAAAGAAGGAUUAGCACUCCCAUAGAAAUAUGAGAGCACCGUUUCGAAUAAGGUAUGGAAUCAACACUUGACAUCGAAGCAACACGAAUACCACAACAAAAACAAAACAAGGAUUUGGUUCGCAGAAUAAGCCGGAAACAAACAUAUGAUAGAGAUUUCGUCCGAAGUUUUCGUGGUGGGGCCCACACGGGCUCGAUCGUACAGCACCAUCAUGUACAAGGCAGUGCACAUGACAUACGAAGCGUCCCCGAGUCAGCAUAGCCAAGGACUCUUUAAGACACAACGAGACCACUGUAAAACCAACCGUGGAUAGGCGGACCACUAGACGUCGAACCCCAAUCUCAUAUGAUGCAUCUGUCGGAAAGAUAUCCUAGGGGCUACUUGAAUUCCCACCUAUAAACUCCCGAAACUUUCUGGUUAUGCAAUCUGGUGUUGGGGAUACAGGGGAAGCAAUAUAUAUCUCACCCAAACUAACAAUUCCUACAUCCAGCUGUAUCCAUCCGUCAACACAUAACCAAGAAAACUCCGGAAAUCGUGUACCUCAACCUUCGAAAAGCAUCCGUUAUACAAGUUAUGGCAAUACUCCCGAACUCCCGCCCCAGUACUGGGUGACGUCGAGGUUAUCUCACCAACAACUGCAUAAAAGAGAUUUUCGAUGUUGACGAAAAAAAACUCAGGUAUUCCAGAACUGCAACGAUAAAAUUGUGACGACAACACCUCGGAGCUCAACUCCCCGGGACAUUGCCACAACCCCUAAAUGUCAGGAGGCACCAAGAACAAUGUUCUCGUCACAAAACCAUCGAAACGAUUCCAAGAUACCCGCGUGAUCCUAAAUUUUUUUUAGUGAAAUUUGAGGAGAGGAAAGUCAAAACAUCUACGUCAGGAGGCCUCACCAGAGCGACGAAGGGACUGAGGAGUAAAAAGAAUCCUACUCUCCGAUAUAUAUAAUCCUAAGACUCAAAACAUUUUUGUUCUAGACUCAACAACGCCAGCGAUUCAAUCAAGCAGGGGCUCCUAAGUCGGGGAUGGCUCUGAUACCAACUUGUAACACCCACGAUGCGGCUAUAUCUCUCACAUGUCAAGACACGACUUAGAGGCAUAACCGCAUUGUAGGUUUUGUCGCAAGAAGGGUCAUCUUCACACAAUCCCAUGUAAUGAACAAGAAUGGGAUAAAGAGUUGGCUUACAAUCGCCACUUCACACAAUACAUAAAUAAAACAUACAUCAUUCAGAGUACACACAUAGGCCGACUACGGACAAAUCCAAAUAAAAAGAAGAUAACCCAACUGCUAGAUCCCGAUCUUCCCCAACUGGGCAUCACUACUGAUCAACAUGAAAAUAAACAUAGAAACGACCAAGUCUCUCGUCGAAACCCGACUUGAGUUCGGCAGCAUCACCUGCGCUGGUAUCCUCGGCACCUGCAAUUAUUUUUGUAGUAAUAUGUGAGCCACAAGGACUCAGCAAUCCCAUUACCAUGGGUAACAAGACUAGCAAAGCUUAAUGGGAAAGGAAGGGGUAAAGUGGUGAGGUUGCAGCAGCGGCUAAGCAAGUAUGGUGGCUAUCAUACGCAAAUAAGAGCGAGAAGAGAAGCAAUGGAACGGUCGUCAACUAGUAAUGAACAAGAAGUGAUCCUGAACUCCUAUUUACGCCAAGCAUAACCCAAGGACCGUGUUCUCCUCUCGAACAACCCCGAAAGAGAGACAAUCACAGUUACGCACACGGUUGGUGUAUUUUAGAAAAGAUUACUUCAAGUUUACUACAACCGGAUAUUAACAAAUUCCCAUCUGCCACAUAACCGCGGGCACGGCUUUCGAAAGUUCAAAACCCUGCAGGGGUGUCCCAACUUAGCCCAUGAUAAGCUCUCACGGUCAACGAAGGAUAUUCCUUCUCCCGGGAAGACCCGAUCAAUCUCGGAAUCCCGGUUACAAGACAUUUCGACAAGUUAAAAUAAGACCAACAAAGCCGCCCGGCGUGUCGACACCCUGAUAGAAGCCGCACGUAUCUCGUUCUCAGGACACGACCGGAUGAGUCAAGCUACGAGUAAAACCAGCCCUCAAGUUUCCCCGAGGUGGCCCCGCAGGUUGCUCGGUUCGGACCAGCACUUAGAGAAGCACUGGCCCGGGGGGGGCUAAAUAAAGAUGACCCUUGAGUCUGCAGAACCCAAGGGAAAGGUAUAGGUGGUAGGUAGGCAAAUGGUAAAACCAAAGUUAGGCCUUGCUGGAGGAGUUUUAUUCAAGGCGAACUGUCAAGGGGGUCCCAUAAAUCACCCAACCGUGUUAGGGACGCAAAAAUCUGGGAACAUAAUACCGAUAUGACGGAAACUAGGGUGGCAAGAGUGGAACAAGACACUAGGCAAAAGGCCGAGCCUUCCACCCUUUACCUAGUAUAUAGAUGCAUUAAUAAUAUAAGAGAUAUUGUGAUAUCCCAACAUAAACAUAAACCAACAUGGAGCAAACUUCAUCUUCACCUGCAACUAGCAACGCUAUAAGAGGGGCUGAGCAAAAGCGGUAACAUGGCCAAACAACGGUUUGCUAGGACGGGUGAAAAAGGUUAGAGGUUCAUGGCAAUUUGGGAGGCUUGAUAAGCAAGUGGUAGGUAACGCGGCAUAGCGAUAGAACGAAGCAACUAGUAUAGCAAUGAGAUCCAAGGUGACGGUCAUCUUGCCUGAAAUCCCGCUUGGAAGAAGAACGAGUCCAUGAAGCAGACAAACGGGCGGAGUCGAACGAAUCCUCACAACUCCGGAACGAAACCGUAGCUAACAAGAGAAGCAAACCGGAAAGGAGCAAACAACAUAGUAAACAAUCAUCACAUAAACAUGGCAUGAUGCACAAUCAAGUAUGAUGCAUGUCCGGUUUAAGGAGGCAUGGCAUGACAAAGUGCACAAAACAAAACUACAAAUUAAGUGGAGCUCAAUAUGCAACGAGUUGCAUAUUGCCGAAACACCACAUUCAAGUUAUUUAGUUCGCUCUCGGUUAUGUACCCAACAAUAUUAAAAGUUAUUAAACAUGGCAAGGGGUGAAGCAUAAUAAAUCUAUCUAUUUAAGUAAGUUUAAAUGAGGCCGGAAAUAACAAACAACAAGUCCGGUAAAUCCUCAUGUGCAUAUUUUUGAUUUGGUACUGUUCUGCCCUAAAUCAUAUUUUAAUAUUGUUAAACAGUAAAACAAAGUGCAUCAAGUUAAUCUAUGCAUUUUCCACCCCAUUUACAUAUAAAGUUUAUUAAAAUCGGAGUUACGGUUAUUUAGUUAUGAAAUAAAUCAUUUUCAUGGCAAUUUGAGCAAAUUUAAACAAACAACAUUUUAAGCAUUUUAAACAUGGAUGAAAGCAACAUAUUAUGAAACUAGAUGAAAUUCUAAGCAUUUUACAUAUAUAAUUCAUUUUAAUAUGAUGCACGGAUGUGGAGUUAUUAAUGCAUGAACAUUAAGGGGUUUUCUGAAAAACUGCAGUUCCUGGGAAAAUAGCUAAAAUCGCAACAGAGGAAAAAAACGCAUCGGGCCGAAUCUGGGACGGAUUGGGUGCAGGACUGUGGGUGGCUCACCAUGGGCCAAGCCCAGUUCGGUGGGGAGGAGGAUGGGCAGGCCGCGAAGGGGCGCGCUGGGCCUUGGCGCGGAGGAGGCCGACCCGUGGUUGCAGCCCAUGUGAGCAGCCGAAUCGGUCAACAGGCGAAGGGGCGGGCGAGCUGCUGCUGCUCAUCUCUGAAGAACAGAACCAACAGCAGGUUCAGGGCGACGGACGGCGAGAUGGUGGGGUCGACAGGCGCGAGAAGCAGCGGGUCGGCGAGGCAACCGGCGACGGGGAGAGCUUGGCCGGAUCCGAACAAGGAGGCAGGCCGGCGGCAGGGCAAACGGCGGCGGCUUGGCGAGGGACUUGGCGCUGGAGCUUCAGACGAAGCAGGGCGCGACAGCAGCAGCACGAGGGCGCGAAACAGAGGCAACGGCGGCGGCUUGGCGAGGGACUCGGCGCGACGACGGCGAACUUGGCGCGGCGGAGCUUGCUGCUGGCGAUGCGGGGCGACGGCCGCGAUCAACGCGAGACGCGGGCGAGCGGGCGCCUCGUCCUCUGCUCGUCAGGAAGCAGAGCAGCGGCGGCGUCUUGGCACGACUCCACGUCGGCGCCGGGGACGGGGAAACGGGCGGAGGUGGCCGGAGGAGCGCGAAACGGCGAAUCCACGUCGGAUCCAGGCGGUGGAGGUGGCUGACAGCAAAGCUUCAAGGCGACGGAGCUUCGUCCUGGGGCAGAGAGGAAAAGAGAGAGUUGAGAGAGGGGAAACGCAGGGAGGAAACGGAAGGUGAAGAAAAAGGGAGGUGGCCGGCGCUCAUCUGGUUGGCUGCUGGUUCGCUCGCCGGCGGGGAGGUUGGCGGUGACGCGGGGCUCCGGGCGAGCACCUGCUCGGGAGGGGAUCGAGGAGGCAGCGGGUGAGGUGGAGUUGGAUCGAGGGUUGCUCUGGUUGGCCGGGCGGAUCGAGGGGAGGCCUCGAGUGCUGGUUGGGUGAGAAGGGGAUCUGGGAGGAUCCCGAGGAAGAAGAUGGGUGAUGAGACAGGGGCGGCGGCUGGGAGGAUGGGACAAGGCU
This 7872-nucleotide long non-coding RNA is filed under the name Triticum aestivum (bread wheat). Its description in RNAcentral is "long non-coding RNA (TAES_LNC028469)". Lineage: Eukaryota; Viridiplantae; Streptophyta; Magnoliopsida; Poales; Poaceae. The record is from RNAcentral.